AUUGCUUCUUGGCCUUUUGGCUAAGAUCAAGUGUAGAAAGAGAUUGGACAGAGUUAACUUUUUCUCCUAAAUAAAUGUCUACCUUAAUUUUCUCAGGAUUUCCUUAUCUACAGUAAAUUCCUUUAUAUGUCUAGUAAUAUCUACUUCUUACUUCACCACAGGGUGAAGCAUUGGUAUAAAUUGG
Molecule: small nuclear RNA, 184 nt
Organism: Oryctolagus cuniculus (rabbit)
Lineage: Eukaryota; Metazoa; Chordata; Mammalia; Lagomorpha; Leporidae
Gene: U2
Rfam family: U2 spliceosomal RNA
About the family: U2 is a small nuclear RNA (snRNA) component of the spliceosome (involved in pre-mRNA splicing). Complementary binding between U2 snRNA (in an area lying towards the 5' end but 3' to hairpin I) and the branchpoint sequence (BPS) of the intron results the bulging out of an unpaired adenosine, on the BPS, which initiates a nucleophilic attack at the intronic 5' splice site, thus starting the first of two transesterification reactions that mediate splicing.
Source: Ensembl